This 404-nucleotide unclassified non-coding RNA is filed under the name soil metagenome. Its description in RNAcentral is "partial contains 5.8S ribosomal RNA, internal transcribed spacer 2, and large subunit ribosomal RNA". The stretch from base 1 to 122 matches the Rfam family "5.8S ribosomal RNA", at positions 35 to 154 of the family's 154-position model. The record is from RNAcentral.
GAUGAAGAACGUAGCAAAAUGCGAUACUUGGUGUGAAUUGCAGAAUCCCGUGAACCAUCGAGUUUUUGAACGCAAGUUGCGCCCGAAGCCUUUUGGCCGAGGGCACGUCUGCCUGGGCGUCACGCAUCGCGUCGCCCCCCACAAAUUCUCCGUCAGGGGAGCUUGUGUUUCGGGGGCGGAUACUGGUCUCCCGUGCUCAUGGCGCGGUUGGCCGAAAUAGGAGUCCCUUCGAUGGACGCACGAACUAGUGGUGGUCGUAAAACCCUCGUCUUUUGUUUCGUGCCGUUAGUCGCGAGGGAAGCUCUUCAAAAACCCCAACGCGUCGUCUCUUGACGGCGCUUCGACCGCGACCCCAGGUCAGGCGGGACUACCCGCUGAGUUUAAGCAUAUCAAUAAGCGGAGGA